This 440-nucleotide ribosomal RNA is filed under the name uncultured bacterium. Its description in RNAcentral is "partial 16S ribosomal RNA". It matches the Rfam family "Bacterial small subunit ribosomal RNA", at positions 338 to 795 of the family's 1533-position model. The record is from RNAcentral.
CCUACGGGGUGCAGCAGUGGGGAAUAUUGCACAAUGGGGGCAACCCUGAUGCAGCGACGCCGCGUGAGUGAAGAAGUGUUUCGGCACGUAAAGCUCUAUCAGCAGGGAAGAACAUGACGGUACCUGACUAAGAAGCCCCGGCUAACUACGUGCCAGCAGCCGCGGUAAUACGUAGGGGGCAAGCGUUAUCCGGAUUUACUGGGUGUAAAGGGAGCGUAGACGGCUGUGCAAGUCAGAUGUGAAAGCCCGGGGCUCAACCCCAGGACUGCAUUUGAAACUGGGUGGCUGGAGUGCCGGAGAGGCAGGCGGAAUUCCUGGUGUAGCGGUGGAAUGCGUAGAUAUUAGGAGGAACACCAGUGGCGAAGGCGGCCUGCUGGACGGCAACUGACGUUGAGGCUCGAAAGCGUGGGGAGCAAACAGGAUUAGAUACCCGGGUAGUC